AGAGGCUGGCGCGGGCAGGCGCCUCGCCAACCCGGUCAGGUCCGGAAGGAAGCAGCCGCAACGAGCCCCGCCUGGGUCGCUGUCCAGUCUCUCAC
Molecule: signal recognition particle RNA, 95 nt
Filed under: Paracoccus alkenifer
Lineage: Bacteria; Pseudomonadati; Pseudomonadota; Alphaproteobacteria; Rhodobacterales; Paracoccaceae
Description: Bacterial small signal recognition particle RNA
Rfam family: Bacterial small signal recognition particle RNA
About the family: The signal recognition particle (SRP) is a universally conserved ribonucleoprotein involved in the co-translational targeting of proteins to membranes. Archaeal SRP consists of a 7S RNA and homologues of the eukaryotic SRP19 and SRP54 proteins.
Source: RNAcentral